AGCAGCCGCGGUAAUUCCAGCUCCAAUAGCGUAUAUUAAAGUUGCUGCAGUUAAAAAGCUCGUAGUUGAAUUUCGGGAUCAUCAUGUCGGUCGUGCCUCGGUACGUACUGGCAUUGUUGGUUUCUACCUUCUGACGAACCAUGAUGUCAUUUAUUUGGUGUCGUGGGAAAUCAGGACUGUUACUUUGAAAAAUUAGAGUGUUUAAAGCAGGCUCACGCUUGAAUACAUUAGCAUGGAAUAAUGAAAUAGGACGUUUGAUUCUAUUUUGUUGGUUUCUAGGAUCGACGUAAUGAUUAAUAGGGAUAGUUGGGGGCAUUAGUAUUCAAUUGUCAGAGGUGAAAUUCUUGGAUUUAUUGAAGACUAACUACUGCGAAAGCAUUUGCCAAGGAUGUUUUCAUUAAUCAAGAACGAAAGUUAGGGGAUCGAAGACGAUCAGAUACCGUCGUAGUCUUAACCAUAAACUAUGCCGACUAGGG
RNAcentral lists this ribosomal RNA (476 nucleotides) under uncultured Glomus. RNAcentral's name for it is "SSU rRNA". It matches the Rfam family "Eukaryotic small subunit ribosomal RNA", at positions 569 to 1051 of the family's 1831-position model. Lineage: Eukaryota; Fungi; Glomeromycota; Glomeromycetes; Glomerales; Glomeraceae. The record is from RNAcentral.